This 25-nucleotide non-coding RNA is filed under the name Mus musculus (house mouse). The record is from RNAcentral. Lineage: Eukaryota; Metazoa; Chordata; Mammalia; Rodentia; Muridae.
UCUAAAUGGACUUUGGCCCCAGGUC